RNAcentral lists this ribosomal RNA (144 nucleotides) under uncultured eukaryote. RNAcentral's name for it is "partial 18S ribosomal RNA". It matches the Rfam family "Eukaryotic small subunit ribosomal RNA", at positions 1299 to 1458 of the family's 1831-position model. The record is from RNAcentral.
UCGUGGAUUGAUUUGUCUGGUUAAUUCCGAUAACGAACGAGACCUUAACCUACUAGUUAGUUGCGCAUGGGUUUUACUCAUGUCUUUUGCAACUUCUUAGAGGGACAGCUGGCUUUUAGCCAGAGGAAGUUUGAGGCAAUAACA